UGCAGGCUGCAACCCGCCUGCAUGAAGUUGGAAUCGCUAGUAAUCGCGGAUCAGCAUGCCGCGGUGAAUACGUUCCCGGGCCUUGUACACACCGCCCGUCACACCAUGAGAGUCGGGAACACCCGAAGUCCGUAGUCUGACCGCAAGGGGACGCGGCCGAAGGUGGGUUCGAUAAUUGGGGUGAAGUCGUAACAAGGUACC
Molecule: ribosomal RNA, 201 nt
Filed under: uncultured bacterium
Lineage: Bacteria
Description: partial 16S ribosomal RNA
Rfam family: Bacterial small subunit ribosomal RNA
Source: RNAcentral